Molecule: long non-coding RNA, 2294 nt
Filed under: Gadus morhua (Atlantic cod)
Lineage: Eukaryota; Metazoa; Chordata; Actinopteri; Gadiformes; Gadidae
Description: lncRNA (ENSGMOG00000032459.1)
Source: RNAcentral
UUCUUUAAAGGGACACUAUGUAAUAUUUUGAGUAAUUCAUUACCUCAAAUCAACGUAUUCAUUCAUAAAUAAGUCCUCAUUGGAGUAAAUUUAUCUCUGCCAAGAAUGUCACUUAACCUCCUGAGCGAAGAAUAAUUAAUAUUAAUAUCAAUAUGGUUACAUAGGACGGGUAAGCUUCAUGGAGGCUUCCAUGUUCUUCCGGUCUAUGAACUGCCGAGAGGGACAAAAAGCAAUACGUGGUACAGGAAUUGCAAACGCGUUUUCACUCUGAGCCAGCGUGACUGUGGAACAGAGCUUAGCUUAGUUUAGCGAGACGAGUUUUACCGGCAAAUUUGAACAUGCACCGCAUUUUUGUGAAAGACCAUACUUAUGCCACGCCACAGGAGAAGGAAUCAUCGUCGCCAAAAAAUCAGAAUUCGGAGCAUCGUUGUUUUCCACGUACGUGACGUUACAAGAGCGAGGGAGGCAAACUAUAAGCGUCAGCAACACCAAGCAGAGAAGCGAGAGAGCGCCGCGCCAAUCAACUGUGAGCGUCUUGGGAAUACCCGGUCGAUAUAAUAUGGACACAUAAGACAAUCAAUAUUCGGUAUUUGUUAUGGAUUUAUUGUACAAAUUCCCUGAGAAGAUGCACGUUCCAGGAUGAAUUGAAAAGCUCCCGUAAGGGCUGAGAUGGCAGAGGACAGCUGAUUUGGAACGGAACAACAGCUGUUCGAGAGAGACAAAGGAGUGAGGCUGCUGGUUCACACUGUUGCACAUUUGUUUUGUUUGCUUGGAAGAUCGGAAAAUAAACCUGCAGAAAUCUAAAUUCAUGACUGGACUGGACAGUUGACUCUUUCCCCUGCACCGCGUAAGAUUCGUCCCCCCUGGGGCCUCAGUGGCUAUUUUGAUAACUUUGCUUUGUUUGAAUUUCUUAAUCUUAAAGUUAUUGUUUUAUUGAGGACAAAUCGCCACCACAAUAUGUAUUAUAUGUACUGUGUUAGAGUGUCAUUUUGUGUCAUUUUGGUUGGUGGUGUGCCCCAGGAUCUUUUAAAUGAAAAAAGUGUGCCGCGGCUCAAAAAAGGUUGAAAAUCACUGGCUUACACUAAUGAUUCAAUGCAGUUUGAAAUAACGAACCUCAUCAUCACUCGAAUGACUCGAUGAGGUAGUAUUGGAUGUCAUGACACAGCUUCUUGGCACAUACUGGCCACCGUAGUUUUUGAACAAGCGAGCACUAUUAGUUUGAAUGCAAUAUACAAUUGUACCACUAGAUGGGAGUAAUUUUUACACAGUGUCCCUUUAAAUAUACAAUUAUUUAGUUAUAAUAUUAUAAGUAGACAUGUAGCUUUAAUUCAAUUAUCGUUAUAACAAGAUCUGUAUGCUAGAGCGUGCACAGCCCGCCCCCCCUUUCUGAAGUCGAAAAAAAUCUCCAGAUUGUAAUGCAUUGGUUUAAUAUUGAAUUAAUUGAAUAUUAAAAUAUAUAUUAUAUAAAUCAAUAUACAAUUAUUUAGUUAUUAUAUUUAGACCAUGUAGCUUUUAUUCAAUUAUCGUUAUAACAAGAUCUGUAGCCUAUCUGACCGUUGAAAAUCCACUUCCACAAAUGUCUAAGUGUGGUUCAGGUGUGAAAAUAGUGACUAUUAGAUAAGUACACCCCCCAUAUUUUAUUUUAUUGUGUGAAAUCCUUAUUUUUGCCAUCAUUAGUUUAAUCCAAAUUCAUAUGUAAUAUGUCUCAUAUUGGAAACUUUGGUUGGCUUUUAUUUUGAAACUCCACAUCAGAAUGUUCUGAAACCUUCUGCGUGACCCCAUGGGGUCGUGAACUAUAACCCUGAAGUGAAAUGAGCCUGAAAUAACAGGGCAUUUCCUUUUAAAUUGAAUCCAAAAUCAUAUGUAAUAUGUCUCAUAUUGGAAACUUUGGUUGGCUUUUAUUUUGAAACUCCACAUCAGAAUGUUCUGAAACCUUUUGCGUGACCCCAUGGGGUCGUGAACUAUAACCCUGAAGUGAAAUGAGCCUGAAAUAACAGGGCAUUUUCUUUAAAUUGAAUCCAAAAUCAUAUGUAAUAUGUCUCAUAUUGGAGAUUUUGGUAGGCUUUUACUUUGAAACUCCACAUCAGAAUGUUCUGAAAGUUCUUGUGUGACCCCAUGGGGUCUUGAACUAUAACCCUGAAGUGAAAUGAGCCUGAAAUAACAGGGCAUUUUCUUUUAAAUUGAAUCCAAAAUAAUAUGUAAUAUGUCUCAUAUUGGAGAUUUUGGUUGGCUUUUACUUUGAAACUCCACAUCAGAAUGUUCUGAAACUUCUUGUGUGACCCCAUGGGGUCUUG